Mustela lutreola (European mink) is the source of this 73-nucleotide non-coding RNA. Lineage: Eukaryota; Metazoa; Chordata; Mammalia; Carnivora; Mustelidae. The record is from the annotation of a RefSeq genome assembly.
GCCUGGCCAGCUCAGUUGGUAAAGCAUGUGACUGUUAAUCUCAGGGUUGUGAGUUCAAGCCCCACACUGGGCA